Molecule: long non-coding RNA, 206 nt
Organism: Polypterus senegalus (gray bichir)
Lineage: Eukaryota; Metazoa; Chordata; Cladistia; Polypteriformes; Polypteridae
Exons: 3
Source: RefSeq, a predicted model, not a curated record
CGCGAGUCUUGGUAAAUCGGAGCUACAGUGCUGGUUAUCGGACUAUUGGAGAACUACAUAUAACGAACAACUUCUAGGUCAAGUGGAACCAAAGACCCUUCCUAGGAACACCGGGUGACAGGGCAACUUCCAUCUUCUGCUGACCAAACCUUGACUUGAGCAUCCAUCCCACCACUUAGAAUUACCACUCCUGAAGGAAAGAACCU